GGGAGCGCAUGCAGUCAGGUGGCUGUCCCCGUCUUCAAAACUGGUGGGCGGCAUUGAACGAUGUCGCCGGUCGGAUCGUUACCGACGCGCUCCCGCCA
This 98-nucleotide transfer RNA is filed under the name Candidatus Dormiibacterota bacterium. RNAcentral describes it as "tRNA-Sec". It matches the Rfam family "Selenocysteine transfer RNA". The record is from RNAcentral. Lineage: Bacteria; Bacillati; Candidatus Dormiibacterota.